GAACCGCAUGGUUCAAAAGUGAAAGACGGUCUUGCUGUCACUUAUAGAUGGAUCCGCGCUGCAUUAGCUAGUUGGUAAGGUAACGGCUUACCAAGGCAACGAUGCAUAGCCGACCUGAGAGGGUGAUCGGCCACACUGGAACUGAGACACGGUCCAGACUCCUACGGGAGGCAGCAGUAGGGAAUCUUCCGCAAUGGGCGAAAGCCUGACGGAGCAACGCCGCGUGAGUGAUGAAGGUCUUCGGAUCGUAAAACUCUGUUAUUAGGGAAGAACAUAUGUGUAAGUAACUGUGCACAUCUUGACGGUACCUAAUCAGAAAGCCACGGCUAACUACGUGCCAGCAGCCGCGGUAAUACGUAGGUGGCAAGCGUUAUCCGGAAUUAUUGGGCGUAAAGCGCGCGUAGGCGGUUUUUUAAGUCUGAUGUGAAAGCCCACGGCUCAACCGUGGAGGGUCAUUGGAAACUGGAAAACUUGAGUGCAGAAGAAGAAAGUGGAAUUCCAUGUGUAGCGGUGAAAUGCGCAGAGAUAUGGAGGAACACCACAGGAUUAGAUACCCUGGUAGUCCACGCCGUAAACGAUGAGUGCUAAGUGUUAGGGGGUUUCCGCCCCUUAGUGCUGCAGCUAACGCAUUAAGCACUCCGCCUGGGGAGUAC
Molecule: ribosomal RNA, 653 nt
Filed under: Staphylococcus aureus
Lineage: Bacteria; Bacillati; Bacillota; Bacilli; Caryophanales; Staphylococcaceae
Description: bacterial SSU rRNA
Rfam family: Bacterial small subunit ribosomal RNA
Source: RNAcentral